CGGACGGGUGGAGUAAUGUCUGGGAAACUGCCUGAUGGAGGGGGGUAACUACUGGAAACGGUAGCUAUACCGCAUAACGUCGCAAGACCAAAGAGGGGGACCUUAGGGCCUCUUGCCAUCGGAUGUGCCCAGAUGGGAUUAGCUUGUUGGUGGGGUAACGGCUCACCAAGGCGACGAUCCCUAGCUGGUCUGAGAGGAUGACCAGCCACACUGGAACUGAGACACGGUCCAG
This 232-nucleotide ribosomal RNA is filed under the name uncultured bacterium. RNAcentral's name for it is "partial 16S ribosomal RNA". It matches the Rfam family "Bacterial small subunit ribosomal RNA", at positions 99 to 334 of the family's 1533-position model. The record is from RNAcentral.